Molecule: ribosomal RNA, 406 nt
Filed under: uncultured bacterium
Lineage: Bacteria
Description: partial 16S ribosomal RNA
Rfam family: Bacterial small subunit ribosomal RNA
Source: RNAcentral
AUUGAACGCUGGCGGCAGGCCUAACACAUGCAAGUCGAACGAGUGGCGGACGGGUAAGUAAUGUCUGGGAAACUGCCUGAUGGAGGGGGAUAACUACUAGAAACGGUAGCUAAAACCGCAUACCAUCGGAUGUCGCCAGAUAGGCUUAGCUCGUAGGUGGGGUAAAGGCUAACCUAGGCGACGAUCCCUAGCUGGUCUGAGAGGAUGACUAGCCACACUGGCACUUAGACACGGUCCAGAAUCCUACGGGAGGCAGCAGUGUGGAAUAUUGCACAAUGGUCGCAAGUCUGAUGCUGCAGUGCCGCGUGUAUGAAGAAGUCCUUCGGGUUGUAAAGUACUUUCAGCGGGUAUGCGUUAUCCGCAGAAGAAGCACCGGCUAACUCCGUGCCAGAAGACGCGGUGAUUC